Molecule: long non-coding RNA, 323 nt
Filed under: Phoenix dactylifera (date palm)
Lineage: Eukaryota; Viridiplantae; Streptophyta; Magnoliopsida; Arecales; Arecaceae
Description: long non-coding RNA (PDAC_LNC021197)
Source: RNAcentral
UGGCGCUCUGGGGCCUGGCCUCCUACUUUUAUGGCGAGUUCCUGGAGAGCAAGAAGAAAAAGCCAGUGGAGGAACCCAGGCUUCUGGAUUCUGUGAAUAAUUAGGACCUGCUUUGUCUUUUCCCUGUUGAAUUCUAUGCUUAACCGGAUACGGAGGUCAAGGUGUGAGGUGUGUCCCAAAGGGGAAGACAGUGGUAUAAAAUAUUUGAAUUAAUGUCCAGUGAUAUCGCAUUGUAAUCAAAAUUUGAUUAGAUACGUGAUGGUUUCUUUUGUUGAUGAUUACUUUGGAAGUAUGUGAAAGCUGCUAAUAUACUUCUCUCUCAC